CUACGGGUUGCUGCAGUGGGGAAUAUUGCACAAUGGGCGCAAGCCUGAUGCAGCCAUGCCGCGUGUAUGAAGAAGGCCUUCGGGGUGUAAAGUACUUUCAGCGGGGAGGAAGGGAGUAAAGUUAAUACCUUUGCUCAUUGACGUUACCCGCAGAAGAAGCACCGGCGAACUCCGUGCCAGCAGCCGCGGUAAUACGGAGGGUGCAAGCGUUAAUCGGAAUUACUGGGCGUAAAGCGCACGCAGGCGGUUUGUUAAGUCAGAUGUGAAAUCCCCGGGCUCAACCUGGGAACUGCAUCUGAUACUGGCAAGCUUGAGUCUCGUAGAGGGGGGUAGAAUUCCAGGUGUAGCGGUGAAAUGCGUAGAGAUCUGGAGGAAUACCGGUGGCGAAGGCGGCCCCCUGGACGAAGACUGACGCUCAGGUGCGAAAGCGUGGGGAGCAAACAGGAUUAGAUACCCCCGUAGUC
RNAcentral lists this ribosomal RNA (464 nucleotides) under uncultured bacterium. RNAcentral describes it as "partial 16S ribosomal RNA". It matches the Rfam family "Bacterial small subunit ribosomal RNA", at positions 339 to 795 of the family's 1533-position model. The record is from RNAcentral.